Molecule: transfer RNA, 72 nt
Filed under: Rhizophagus irregularis
Lineage: Eukaryota; Fungi; Glomeromycota; Glomeromycetes; Glomerales; Glomeraceae
Description: Glomus irregulare tRNA
Rfam family: tRNA
About the family: Transfer RNA (tRNA) molecules are approximately 80 nucleotides in length. Their secondary structure includes four short double-helical elements and three loops (D, anti-codon, and T loops).
Source: Rfam by way of RNAcentral
UCCGCAUUGGUCCAGUGGUUAGGAUUUCACGCUUUCACCGUGACGGCCAGGGUUCGAUUUCCUAAUGUGAAA